GAUGAACGCUGGCGGCGUGCUUAACACAUGCAAGUCGAACGAAGCACUUUAUUUGAUUUCCUUCGGGACUGAUUAUUUUGUGACUGAGUGGCGGACGGGUGAGUAACGCGUGGGUAACCUGCCUUGUACAGGGGGAUAACAGUUGGAAACGGCUGCUAAUACCGCAUAAGCGCACAGCAUCGCAUGAUGCAGUGUGAAAAACUCCGGUGGUAUAAGAUGGACCCGCGUUGGAUUAGCUAGUUGGUGAGGUAACGGCCCACCAAGGCGACGAUCCAUAGCCGACCGGAGAGGGGGCCCGGCCACAUGGGGACUGAGACACGCCCCAAACCCCUAGGGGAGGAGGCGGGGGGGAAUAUGGCAAAAUGGGCGAAGGCCUGAGGCACCGACGCCGGGGGAGGAAAGAAGUUUUGCGGUAGGAAAAGCUUAAGAAGAAGGGAAGAUAAUGACGGUACCUGACAAAGAACCCCGGGCAAAAUCCGUC
Molecule: ribosomal RNA, 481 nt
Filed under: uncultured bacterium
Lineage: Bacteria
Description: partial 16S ribosomal RNA
Rfam family: Bacterial small subunit ribosomal RNA
Source: RNAcentral